Molecule: long non-coding RNA, 208 nt
Organism: Nerophis ophidion (straightnose pipefish)
Lineage: Eukaryota; Metazoa; Chordata; Actinopteri; Syngnathiformes; Syngnathidae
Exons: 3
Source: RefSeq, a predicted model, not a curated record
CGGAUGUGACUUGAAGAAACAAUUCGGCACUGAAGGAAUAACAACUGCAAUAUUGGAGUGUCGAAAUGACAAAAUGAAAACCUGGAAAACGAUGGAGAAGAACUGGUAAAGAAGUCGACUCAAAUAAAUGAUCAAGAAGGACUGUAAAGCUGUCAUCCCGUCCUGCAACCACCUAUGUGAAUGUGGAGACUGAUGAGCAAUGUCUAAG